GUCCUGUCUGUGCCCCACGUCCCAGCUCGUCCCCUGUCCUGCGCGGUGCCUUCAUCUCCUUCCUUCCCCAGGGCAUCAAAGGUGAGCGAGGCUACGUGGGCCCCCCUGGGGAGAAAGGGGAACUGGUGAGUCCCUCAGGGCUGUGCUCCAGGGGCAGAGGGCUGGGGGCUCUCCCGGGUGCCCCCCUCGCCGUGGCUACCGGGAUUGAGGUUCUUCCAGCCACAUCCAUCUGACCCUGUUCCUCCCCUUCCCAGGGACCCCCCGGCUUGGACGGCCUCCCAGGUCCCACAGGGCCAGCGGUAGGUGCCCACUCUGAUCGGCUCCCGGGGGGCUAUGGGGAGGGAGGGGGGACGGCCGCGGUGGCUGUGGGUGCAGCGAGGUGCUCCCCACCCUCCUCACCCCCUCUUUCCGCAGGGACCGAGGGGCGAGCGCGGGCUCCCGGGCAGUGCCGGCGAGAAGGGGGACCAGGUGAGCAUCCCCGAGGGUCCCGCAAGGAUGGGGAUCCCCAGGACCCCCAUCGGGCAGGAUGCGGCCGUUGGGGUCCGGCUCAGUUCUCGUCUCUCCACAGGGUUUCCAGGGCCAGCCUGGCUUCCCGGGGCCACCGGGGCCCCCCGGCUUCCCAGGGAAGGUCGGUCCAGCCGGGCCACCGGGGCCCGCGGCCGAGAAGGGCAGCGAGGGCAUGCGUGGCCCCACGGGGAUGCCAGGGCCCCCUGGACCCCCCGGACCCCCGGGCAUCCAGGGCCCCGCUGGCUUGGAAGGACUGGACGGCAAGGACGGCAAGCCAGGGCUGCGGGUGAGGUUCUGGGGCAUUCCGGGGUGCUAGCAGGGGGGCAGCCCCCCCCCCCCCCCAGGACACCCCCAACCCGUACCUCUUUCUCUCCAGGGUGACCCCGGACCGCCCGGGCCACCAGGGAUGAUGGGUCCUCCGGUGAGUGACAGCCUUCCUUGUCACCCCUCUCCGGUGCUCGGUGCCUGGCAUGUCCCCGCAGUUAGAACCGGG
This 1000-nucleotide long non-coding RNA is filed under the name Aquila chrysaetos chrysaetos. RNAcentral's name for it is "lncRNA (ENSACCG00020008007.1)". The record is from RNAcentral. Lineage: Eukaryota; Metazoa; Chordata; Aves; Accipitriformes; Accipitridae.